UGGGGGAUAUUGUACAAUGGGCGAAAGCCUGAUGCAGCGACGCCGCGUGGGGGAUGAAGGCCUUCGGGUUGUAAACUUCUUUUGCUCUGAACAAGGCGCACCAUGGGGUGUGUUGAGUGUAGGGGUUGAUUAGCGCCGGCUAACUACGUGCCAGCAGCCGCGGUAAUACGUAGGGCGCGAGCGUUGUCCGGAAUUAUUGGGCGUAAAGGGCUUGUAGGUGGCUGGUUGCGUCUGUCGUGAAAGCUCAUGGCUUAACUGUGGGUUUGCGGUGGGUACGGGCUGGCUUGAGUGCAGUAGGGGAGGCUGGAAUUCCUGGUGUAGCGGUGGAAUGCGCAGAUAUCAGGAGGAAUACCGGUGGCGAAGGCGGGUCUCUGGGCUGUUACUGACACUGAGGAGCGAAAGCAUGGGGAGCGAACAGG
Molecule: ribosomal RNA, 419 nt
Filed under: bacterium
Lineage: Bacteria
Description: partial 16S ribosomal RNA
Rfam family: Bacterial small subunit ribosomal RNA
Source: RNAcentral